GCCGCUAUGGCGCAGUGGUAGUAAGAUAUGUCUUAACCAAACGACAACAAUGCAACGCUGACACCUGAAAAAGACGCGUCGCACUUGUACAAUUACUGUCAUGCGAAGAUCCCUAGUUCAAUUCUGGGUGGCGGCA
This is a non-coding RNA of Zasmidium cellare ATCC 36951, 136 nucleotides long. NCBI's taxonomy places the organism in Eukaryota, Fungi, Ascomycota, Dothideomycetes, Mycosphaerellales, Mycosphaerellaceae. The record is from the annotation of a RefSeq genome assembly.